Myodes glareolus (Bank vole) is the source of this 3223-nucleotide non-coding RNA. Lineage: Eukaryota; Metazoa; Chordata; Mammalia; Rodentia; Cricetidae. The record is from RefSeq and is a predicted model, not a curated record.
UCCAGGGCAAGGCCAGUUCAGGCACCCUCUCUAUUGCUUAGUGCACCCAGCUUUUUAUGUGUGUCCUGGGUAUCCGAACUCAGGUUCUCAGACUUGUGUGGCAACCACUUGUCCCACUGAGCUAUUGUCUCAGCAUUUCUUAUCUUGUAAGGCCAUCACAAAAGUCGUAUCAAAUCAGAACAGAAGGACUCUAUCAACCAACAUACUCUCCUCCCUAGGAAGUUGCCUGCUUGCACGUAUUCAAAUGGAGCUCUGCAAGUAACCGAAUGAAUACCUGCUCAGGAAGCAACCAACGGAGCAGGGUUAUGUUCUUUGCAUCUGAUGAUGUGUGUACUCGGUGAGGAGGACUUUGCUCAGUGUCAGUUCAGCGCGGAAGCUUGUUACAGGCUGUUCCAGCAGGGUCUGACCUGUGCUCCGCGUGCGGGAAUUCGGGGAUUGCAAGGAUCAUCAGAGUUCAGUAGGCUCACAUUUCCCAACGCCAUGACCUUGAGGGAAUUACUGACCUGUUGCAUUGUAGCUCAUCUCUCCAUCCGCUAAAAUGGUAAGCUGAUAAUGUGUGUUUACGAUGUCAGUUGUAUAACUGGCACAGCACCAAAUGAAUGUCUUAUGCUCGCAUGCUGAGGUUUUUGGAGUUUGAGGGUGACUAUUACACAGCACAGUCACAAGACAAGGGUCUUGAUGCUCUGUGUGUGCACCUAGGCAUGCAUAUAGCACAUAUGACAUGUGAUGGAGAAUGAGGGAGGGCCCCCUGUGUGCACAAGUCUGCGGACUUGGAUGUUAGCGACAUGAUCCUAAUGUCUUUGAAGGUUGAACACCGUCGUUCUCCUGUUUUGUUUCGGCAUCCCACACCUGGAAACCUCUGUCCAGACGGGAGUGAUGCUCUUGGCUUUAGAGGUCGUCAGAGGGGACACGGGCACCAGCCAGCUACAGGGUCCCCAUAAACUCUAGGGGACUCAAAGGAGGGGGAGAAGGGCUCAGUCCAGGGUCCCCUCUUUCCACAAACCCCAAGGCCCCAGAGCCUGAUCUGUUUAGAUCAAACUUUGAGAAAAAGAUGGUGACUGUAUUUCUUUAUGGCAAGCGUGCCUCAAGGCCUGUGGGAAAGUGUGACAAUUCAUUGAUAUGUUUAAAUUGAGUCUCGUGGGGAUCAAAUGAGACCUGUCAGAAAAUUGGUUUUGUUUGGAUAUAAAGCAGUAUUCUUGUUAUUAAACACUUUAAGGUAUUCCUCCACUUAUCAGAAUUCCUAAUUUUUCUUUAAAGAAAAAAAAGGAAACGGAAAUCACCCCAGUGACUCUAAUAAUUGGGUAGCAGGCAAACAUAGUUAUGGCUCAAGUUUUUAAAAGUAUUAAGCACACUUGUCCACAAACAUCUCUCUUACUGCCAGGACUCGGUCGCUUUAACACCACUCAAAGGCUCAUAAAUUACUUAAAAGUGCGCGUUCUGCACUUUUCCCCAGAAAUCUGGGUGGACGGCCAUGUAAAUGGUGGGUAGCGCUGAUGAAUUACACCUUCCUUCCUGUCGCAAGACUGAGUUUCCUAUUAUUAAACGGUCAUGUGCCAAGACUCUCCGUGGCCUGAUGGGCAAUUAAAUCCCAAAGGACUUCAAAGGCCGGUCUUCACCACUUCCCCUUCUUUUCGAUGCCUUCAUAACAACGGUCUCGAAUUCCUUGGGAAAGUUACAAUGCAGUUCAUUUGAAGUCAGCGUUGGAUAAUUAUAAAAUAUUGUUCUGCAAUUUCCUUGAAGAAAGGACCUUCAUUUUGAGGAGCAGCUGUGGCAGUCACUGGAGAAGCGGGCGGUACAAUGAGAUGCAGCAGCGGCUUUGCUAGCAUUGUCGAGAAAGCAGCGACUCUGGCCGUAGGAGAUAUUUUAAUUCAGCUCCAUUGUUUCGAAGGUAGACUUGCAUACCUCAGAGGGGAAAACUCCACCGUGAGUCCCGUGCCACAAGCCUAAAAGUCUUCUAAUGCACAUGACUGCGUAAACAAAGGGGACCAGGAGCAAAGGAGCCGCUCUGGGAAGUCAGUCACUCAUAGUCUGGGAGCUGGGAUUUUCCAUUGCCCCCGAUUGUUGCUCUGGCUGCAGUGCCCGCCCUGCCCUUUGGUCUCCUGGAGGGAAAAGUACCCAGAUUUCCUCUUAUGAUCCAAACAAACCCAUGGAGGAAGAUCCCCAACUGCUGCUGUCCACCCUGCACUGAAGGCUCAGAGUGUCGGCUGCCCAGACCUGUGGUCGGUGGAGGGACUGUGUGGUACCAGAAAGAACAUGGAAGAACAUGAUUUGCAAGUUGAAGCCUGGAAAUUCCUCCUCCAAGCCUUACCACUGCUGGGACAGGAAACUCACAGGCUGUCCCUUCUGCCUGAAAACACCAACCCCUCGUAGACACUCACCCAGUUCACAAUCCAGGCAGUCGUCACCAUCCCACGGGAGUGUAGUUGUGCCUCCAUCUGUGAAGCAUGUCCCUGUCCGCAGACUGCUGUGUAAGCAGCGGAACCAGGAAGACAGAAAUCUGUGUGACAGGACCUUGUGUUCCAGCACCAUUCCCAGGAGACUCCUGGCUAAAGGUCUGCUUUCUGAAUGUCACUGGAACCAGAGCAACCCGAAGAGUCUCUGCAUGGGGAGCCUUUGGAGUUAAAUUUCACAUUGACCUGAAGAAAGUUCGUGUUGCUUUUGCCAGACAUCUCGCCAUGUGGAUCUGCCAUCUUCUCACCUGAAGGGACGAGGGGCCUACUGAUGUGCCACAGUGACCUUGAAGGUGACAAGAACAUCGCCCAUUCCUGGAAUCUCGUGACAGCUGCUUCUAGCACAGAGUGAAGCUGUCCACCUGAUCCAUCCCCCAGAUGGCAGGAAGCUUAUGGAAACAUCAGAGAACACCAGUAAACACGUAAACACUCCCACCCACGUGCUCCUGUUUUAACAAAGGGAGAAGACUGCCCUAUGCCUGGCCAGACCUGCCCCGUGUUGCUCCUUGCACGCUGUGUAGAAGCAGCCUUUCUCCCCUGCAUUCCUCACCUUUGCCCCUCUUCUGAUACGCUCACUAAUAAACCCAGCAGGGUAUUUCCUAGCGAGGAAUGGUACUAGCCUGCAGCCACACAUUUUAGGAUUACGAUCUCUGGUCACUCCCUCUCUGUGAUCACGUGUGUGACCCACUACAGACAAUCACCUUCACCUGUCUACCUGCUCUGGUUGAGAUCCAUCAGAAAGUAAAUGCCUUUGGGGGUCUUGGUUGCAUGUA